UAGGGAAUCUUCCACAAUGGACGCAAGUCUGAUGGAGCAACGCCGCGUGAGUGAAGAAGGCUUUCGGGUCGUAAAACUCUGUUAUUGAAGAAGAACGUGUGUGACAGUAACUGGUCAUGCAGUGACGGUAUUCAAUCAGAAAGUCACGGCUAACUACGUGCCAGCAGCCGCGGUAAUACGUAGGUGGCAAGCGUUGUCCGGAUUUAUUGGGCGUAAAGCGAGUGCAGGCGGUCUUUUAAGUCUGAUGUGAAAGCCUUCGGCUUAACCGAAGAAGGGCAUCGGAAACUGGGAGACUUGAGUGCAGAAGAGGAGAGUGGAACUCCAUGUGUAGCGGUGAAAUGCGUAGAUAUAUGGAAGAAACACCAGUGGCGAAGGCGGCUCUCUGGUCUGUAACUGACGCUGAGGCUCGAAAGCGUGGGGUAGCAAAACA
This 430-nucleotide ribosomal RNA is filed under the name uncultured bacterium. Its description in RNAcentral is "partial 16S ribosomal RNA". It matches the Rfam family "Bacterial small subunit ribosomal RNA", at positions 355 to 775 of the family's 1533-position model. The record is from RNAcentral.